AAGUCGUAACAAGGUUUCCGUAGGUGAACCUGCGGAAGGAUCAUUACAGAGAACCUGCCCUCCGGGGUAGAUCUCCCACCCUUUGCUUACCUCAUCCUUUGUUUGCUUUGGCCAGGCCCCGUCCCCGGGACGCCGCUCCGGCUGGCCAGCGCCUGUCAGAGGACCCCCAACUCUUGUUUAAUUGUCGUCUGAGUACUAUAUAAUAAGUUAAAA
RNAcentral lists this unclassified non-coding RNA (213 nucleotides) under plant metagenome. RNAcentral describes it as "partial contains small subunit ribosomal RNA and internal transcribed spacer 1". The stretch from base 1 to 46 matches the Rfam family "Eukaryotic small subunit ribosomal RNA", at positions 1786 to 1831 of the family's 1831-position model. The record is from RNAcentral.